GAUGAAGAACGUAGUGAAAUGCGAUAAGUAAUGUGAAUUGCAGAAUUCAGUGAAUCAUCGAAUCUUUGAACGCACAUUGCGCCCCUUGGUAUUCCGAGGGGCAUGCCUGUUCGAGCGUCAUUAUAACCCCUCAAGCUCAGCUUGGUGUUGGGGCCUGCUGCACUGGCAGCCCUUAAAAUCAGUGGCGGCGCCAUCUGGCUCUAAGCGUAGUAAUUCUUCUCGCUAUGGAGUCCUGGUGGAUGCUUGCCAUCAACCCCCAAUUUUUCUAUGGUUGACCUCGGAUCAGGUAGGGAUACCCGCUGAAUUUAAGCAUAUCAAUAAGCGGAGGA
Molecule: unclassified non-coding RNA, 329 nt
Filed under: soil metagenome
Description: partial contains 5.8S ribosomal RNA, internal transcribed spacer 2, and large subunit ribosomal RNA
Rfam family: 5.8S ribosomal RNA (bases 1-120)
Source: RNAcentral